Molecule: non-coding RNA, 74 nt
Organism: Phthorimaea operculella (potato tuberworm)
Lineage: Eukaryota; Metazoa; Arthropoda; Insecta; Lepidoptera; Gelechiidae
Source: the annotation of a GenBank genome assembly
UGCAUUGAUAGCUCUGUGGCAGAGUGGUGGUGCGUUGACCCAUUGCGGCCCGGGUUCGAGCCCCGGUCUUGCAG